UUUAUUGCCCUCUUCACAUCAAGAGGAAUUGCUGCCAUCUACAGUGAGAACUGUUGAUGUGGCCAACACAAAUGGGCCGGAAGCAGAGGCUUUUGGGCAGAAUACAUCAAAAGCUGAAUAUACUGCAUUUAGCAAGAAACAUAACAGGAGAAAUGCAAUCAAUAAGAGAUCCAGGAAAGUGCAAAAAAAUAGGAAGCAAUACCAUAUAUGUUGCUUCAACAGCAUUGAAAUGCAUUAACAAAAAUGAAUGCAGUAUAUUCAGCUUUUGAUGUGUCCUUCUCAAAAGCUUCUGCUUCUGGAUCAUUUGGUUUGGUCACAUCCACUGUUCCCACUGCAGAUGUUGGC
This is a non-coding RNA of Cajanus cajan (pigeon pea), 345 nucleotides long. The record is from RefSeq and is a predicted model, not a curated record. Lineage: Eukaryota; Viridiplantae; Streptophyta; Magnoliopsida; Fabales; Fabaceae.